Molecule: ribosomal RNA, 254 nt
Filed under: uncultured bacterium
Lineage: Bacteria
Description: partial 16S ribosomal RNA
Rfam family: Bacterial small subunit ribosomal RNA
Source: RNAcentral
UACGUAGGGGCCGAGCGUUGUCCGGAAUUACUGGGCGUAAAGCGCGCGCAGGCGGCGUUCUAAGCCCGACGUGAAAGCCCCCGGCUCAACUGGGGAGGGUCACGCGAUACUGAUCGACUCGAAGGCAGGAGAGGGUAGUGGAAUUCCCGGUGUAGUGGUGAAAUGCGUAGAUAUCGGGAGGAACACCAGUGGCGAAGGCGACUACCUGGCCUGUUUCUUGACGCUGAGGCGCGAAAGCUAGGGGAGCAAACGGG